This is a long non-coding RNA of Manacus vitellinus (golden-collared manakin), 938 nucleotides long. RefSeq lists it as uncharacterized. The record is from RefSeq and is a predicted model, not a curated record. NCBI's taxonomy places the organism in Eukaryota, Metazoa, Chordata, Aves, Passeriformes, Pipridae. The transcript is spliced from 3 exons.
CAACCAACUGCAGUGGGAAGGGGAGGGAGAACAGGGAAUGAGUGAGUGAGUGGCGCAUGGCUUCGAGAGUUUCAGUGGGAGUACUAAAUUGGGGAGUACCAUUUCCAAACCACAACAUGCCCCUGAUGGUAAUCGGAGGAAGAGACUGGGAACAUGUGCACUGGAAAGAAGCUACAGCAUGGUUCAUCCAGAUUCCCAGUCUGUAGACCUGAGGGAUGAGGAAAGAAGAAAAUGCCGAGCAAAAAUCCUGCCUGCAACAUAUUCAGGGUCUGUGUUCGUUGUCAUUAUUAUGUAGCUGGAAAAGUCACUAUUCCAGAGGAAAGCACCCUUUUGGCAAAACAAGCAGAGUUUGAACUAUUGCAAGCUCCAGUCUUAAACGGAUUUUACUUAACAGCUCAUGACAAGUGAAAAAUCAACAAGAAGGCUGCACAGAGGACAGAGCCAGACCCUUUCCAGUGACGGGACCAGAGGCAAUGGGCAUACACUGAAACACAGGAAGUUCUCUCUGAACAUCAGAAAACACUUCUUCAUUGUGAGGGUGAUCGAGCACUUGCACAGGUUGCCGUGAGAGGUUAUGGAGUCUCCAUCCUUGGAGAUAUUCAAAAGCUGUCUGGACACGGUCCUGGGCAACUGGCUCUUGGGUGACCAUGCUUGAGCAAGGGUGUUGGACAAGAUGACCUCCAGAGGUCCCUUCUAACCUCAGCCAUUCUGUAAUUGUGAAUGUAUAUGCCCCACAAAACUGCACAAGAAAGACCUAUAUUCUCACAUCUGUGUGAUUUACUCUGGAUUUCCAAGGCACAUCACCUAAUUGUAAUUUAUCGAAUAGAAUUACUGCCCAAUAUAAAAGUUUACUUUAUGGACACAAAUGUCAACUGUUGAUUCCUAGAAAGGCAAAUCUCUAAAUUAAAGGUUUUAAAUUAAAAAGAAGUCAAGAAUCU